RNAcentral lists this ribosomal RNA (253 nucleotides) under uncultured bacterium. RNAcentral's name for it is "partial 16S ribosomal RNA". It matches the Rfam family "Bacterial small subunit ribosomal RNA", at positions 524 to 776 of the family's 1533-position model. The record is from RNAcentral.
UACGGAGGGUGCAAGCGUUAUCCGGAUUCACUGGGUUUAAAGGGAGCGUAGGUGGGCUGGUAAGUCAGUGGUGAAAUCUCCGGGCUUAACCCGGAAACUGCCGUUGAUACUAUCAGUCUUGAAUGUUGUGGAGGUAAGCGGAAUAUGUCAUGUAGCGGUGAAAUGCUUAGAUAUGACAUAGAACACCGAUAGCGAAGGCAGCUUGCUACACAAUGAUUGACACUGAGGCUCGAAAGCGUGGGGAGCAAACAGG